Molecule: non-coding RNA, 68 nt
Filed under: Methylococcaceae bacterium
Lineage: Bacteria; Pseudomonadati; Pseudomonadota; Gammaproteobacteria; Methylococcales; Methylococcaceae
Source: RNAcentral
UAGCGAAACCGGGCAUUUUGGUCCCGGUCGUCGUGGGGUGGCUCCCACGGCCUGACGAGCAGCCACGA